This 468-nucleotide ribosomal RNA is filed under the name uncultured bacterium. RNAcentral describes it as "partial 16S ribosomal RNA". It matches the Rfam family "Bacterial small subunit ribosomal RNA", at positions 28 to 507 of the family's 1533-position model. The record is from RNAcentral.
GACGAACGCUGGCGGCGUGCUUAACACAUGCAAGUCGAACGGAAAGGCCCUGCUUUUGUGGGGUGCUCGAGUGGCGAACGGGUGAGUAACACGUGAGUAACCUGCCCUUGACUUUGGGAUAACUUCAGGAAACUGGGGCUAAUACCGGAUAGGAGCUCCUGCUGCAUGGUGGGGGUUGGAAAGUUUCGGCGGUUGGGGAUGGACUCGCGGCUUAUCAGCUUGUUGGUGGGGUAGUGGCUUACCAAGGCUUUGACGGGUAGCCGGCCUGAGAGGGUGACCGGCCGCAUUGGGACUGAGAUACGGCCCAGACUCCUACGGGAGGCAGCAGUGGGGAAUAUUGCACAAUGGGCGGAAGCCUGAUGCAGCAACGCCGCGUGCGGGAUGACGGCCUUCGGGUUGUAAACCGCUUUCGCCUGUGACGAAGCGUGAGUGACGGUAAUGGGCAAAGAAGCACCGGCUAACUACGUG